UCUCUCUUGUUUAUUCACUGACUUCAUUUGUUGCUCAGCUCGUCCACCAUGUGGACCACUUCAUGGAUGUUUUGAAGGAAAACUAGCAGUCCUUAGAGGAGGCUGAGGCUAGAGCUACUUAGUCUGAGGCCCAAACUACAAGCUGAGAAAAAGAUGGAUGAGGUCUUGGAGUUAAAGUAGAUGGCUGAUAGGGAAAUUCAACCCUUGAAGGCCAAGGUAAAAUGAAUGGAGGCUGAGGUUGCAGACGCUUGGAACCAGGUCGAG
This 264-nucleotide long non-coding RNA is filed under the name Elaeis guineensis (African oil palm). RNAcentral's name for it is "long non-coding RNA (EGUI_LNC052292)". Lineage: Eukaryota; Viridiplantae; Streptophyta; Magnoliopsida; Arecales; Arecaceae. The record is from RNAcentral.